Molecule: ribosomal RNA, 478 nt
Filed under: uncultured bacterium
Lineage: Bacteria
Description: partial 16S ribosomal RNA
Rfam family: Bacterial small subunit ribosomal RNA
Source: RNAcentral
GACGAACGCUGGUGGCGUGCUUAACACAUGCAAGUCGAACGGUAAGGCCCUUCGGGGUACACGAGUGGCGAACGGGUGAGUAACACGUGGGUGAUCUGCCCUGCACUUCGGGAUAAGCCUAGGAAACUGGGUCUAAUACCGGAUAGGACCACUGCCUGCAUGGGUGGUGGUGGAAAGCUUUUGCGGUGUGGGAUGGGCCCGCGGCCUAUCAGCUUGUUGGUGGGGUGAUGGCCUACCAAGGCGACGACGGGUAGCCGGCCUGAGAGGGUGACCGGCCACACUGGGACUGAGAUACGGCCCAGACUCCUACGGGAGGCAGCAGUGGGGAAUAUUGCACAAUGGGCGCAAGCCUGAUGCAGCGACGCCGCGUGAGGGAUGACGGCCUUCGGGUUGUAAACCUCUUUCAGCACCGACGAAGCGCAAGUGACGGUAGGUGCAGAAGAAGGACCGGCCAACUACGUGCCAGCCGCCGCAGUAA